RNAcentral lists this ribosomal RNA (438 nucleotides) under uncultured bacterium. RNAcentral describes it as "partial 16S ribosomal RNA". It matches the Rfam family "Bacterial small subunit ribosomal RNA", at positions 339 to 795 of the family's 1533-position model. The record is from RNAcentral.
CUACGGGCUGCUCCAGUGAGGAAUAUUGCACAAUGGGGGGAACCCUGAUGCAGCAACGCCGCGUGGAGGAUGACGCAUUUCGGUGUGUAAACUCCUUUUAUAUGUCAAGAAAAUGACGGUAGCAUAUGAAUAAGCACCGGCUAACUCCGUGCCAGCGGCCGCGGUAUACGGAGGGUGCAAGCGUUACUCGGAAUCACUGGGCGUAAAGGACGCGUAGGCGGGUUGGAAAGUCAGGUGUGAAAUCCUACAGCUUAACUGUAGAACUGCACUUGAAACUUCUAAUCUAGAGUAUGGGAGGGGGAGAUGGAAUUAGUGGUGUAGGGGUAAAAUCCGUAGAUAUCGCUAGGAAUACCUAAAGCGAAGGCGAUCUCCUGGAACAUUACUGACGCUAAGGCGUGAAAGCGUGGGGAGCAAACAGGAUUAGAUACCCUCGUAGUC